RNAcentral lists this ribosomal RNA (301 nucleotides) under uncultured bacterium. Its description in RNAcentral is "partial 16S ribosomal RNA". It matches the Rfam family "Bacterial small subunit ribosomal RNA", at positions 509 to 809 of the family's 1533-position model. The record is from RNAcentral.
CAGCAGCCACGGUAAUACGGAGGGUGCAAGCGUUAAUCGGAAUUACUGGGCGUAAAGCGCACGCAGGCGGUCUGACAAGUCAGAUGUGAAAUCCCCGGGCUUAACCUGGGAACUGCAUUUGAAACUGUCAGGCUGGAGUCUUGUAGAGGGGGGUGGAAUUCCAGGUGUAGCGGUGAAAUGCGUAGAGAUCUGGAGGAAUACCGGUGGCGAAGGCGGCCCCCUGGACAAAGACUGACGCUCAGGUGCGAAAGCGUGGGGAGCAAACAGGAUUAGAUACCCGAGUAGUCCCUGUCUCUUAUAA